RNAcentral lists this ribosomal RNA (468 nucleotides) under uncultured bacterium. RNAcentral's name for it is "partial 16S ribosomal RNA". It matches the Rfam family "Bacterial small subunit ribosomal RNA", at positions 28 to 507 of the family's 1533-position model. The record is from RNAcentral.
GACGAACGCUGGCGGCGUGCUUAAUACAUGCAAGUCGAACGGAAAGGCCCUGCUUUUGCUUGGUGCUCGAUUGGCGAACGGGUGAGUAACACGUGAGUAACCUGCCCUUGACUUUGGGAUAACUUCAGGAAACUGGGGCUAUUACCGGAUAUGAUCUCUUGCUGCACGGUGUGGGUUGGAAAGUUUCGGCGUUUGGGGAUGGACUCGCGGCUUAUCAGCUUGUUGGUGGGGUAGUUGCGUACCAAGGCUACGACGGGUAGCCGGCCUGGGAGGGUGACCGGCGACAUUGGGACUGAGAUACGGCCCAGAAUCCUACGGGAGGCAGCAGUGGGAAAUAUUGCACAAUGGGCGGAAGCCUGAUGCAGCAACGCCGCGUGCGGGAUGACGGCCUUCGGGUUGUAAACCGCUGUCGACUGAGACGAAGCGUGAGUGACGGCAAUGGGUAAAGAAGCACCGGCUAACUACGUG